Long non-coding RNA from Apus apus (common swift), 1811 nucleotides. RefSeq lists it as uncharacterized. NCBI's taxonomy places the organism in Eukaryota, Metazoa, Chordata, Aves, Apodiformes, Apodidae. The transcript is spliced from 3 exons. The record is from RefSeq and is a predicted model, not a curated record.
CCCACCGCCGGCAGCAGCGACCGGGCCCCCGGGCCCCAGUCCCCCAGGCGAGAGGACACACGCGUGUCCCCGGUCCCCCGGGCCUCCUCCUCUUCCUCGCCCGCCGCCUCACGGAAGAGCGUGGUGCGGGACGGAGCCGCCCGGUACCGCCGCCAGGGUCAUGAAACAACUUGAAACACUGACUAGCUACAGUAAUCAGAAUGGUCAAGAUACAUGAAUCUCUCCAUCACUGUUUUUUUCUUAAAUCUGCAAUGACUGUUUAAAGGUGGGUGAAGAUGACUCAAAUAAGAUGCAGAAUGCAAGAGGAAAUGAAGAUUAAUAUGACCUGUAGUUAACAGAUACAACACAAAAACAUAUCAUUAAUUUCAAACUGCAUGCCAUUUUACUUCACCCAGCUUUCUGCUAUAGAUGGCACAACUCAGACCGUGUGCAUUUAUUUAGUUACAUGCUUUUGUACGUAUGUUAAGGAUGAGAUCUGAUUUAGCCCUCUGAAGAGACAGACUACAUAAAUGCACAGAUACUUGAAAGCAGAUCUCUCACCAUUUGUUAGACAAACAGGAAACAAGUCAGCGUAAUGAAGCUGCAUCUUUCUUACAAGGCAGCUCUGGUGCCCAAGGAGUCAAAUUCCCUUGGCUGCCUAAGAAACUUGGUUAUUAAACCACAACCUCUGACAAAGCUGAGACCUCAGAGUGUUCUUGGCUCCACCUUUUGGACAAAGUAUGCUUGUGUCGCUCUACCUCUAACCAUAGAAUCAGUCAGUCAACAUACCUAUUAGCAUUAUAUUAGUAUACUAAUAAUUAGCAUAACAAUUAAUAGUAUUAACACAACAAUUAGCACAGUUCCUGAGUGUCUGGCUUGCGACACUGAGGGACUCCGCUCCAUACAGGCCUCCAGCUAGACUAUGUCCCAUUGAUCAAAAUACUGCAGAAUAUAUGUAGCUGUACUGCUAUGACAGUGUUUGUUUUAAUGAUAGAAUUUAUACAGACUUUGUGCAAUAGAAUACAUUAAAAUAGUCUUGAUACUGCAUUGAAUACUUCUGACAUAAUUUUUGCCAUUCAAUGUUAAAAGUACUGAGAUAAACAGAAAAAUAUAACAAAACCUACAGUAAGAAGUUCCCUAGUUCUGUAGUUUAACCUUCAUUAUAGGAGAACAGAAAAGCAGACGUUGUUCUUAACUCUUUCUCAUGCCUUCUUUCUCUGAAGGUGAGAAGUCCAACAGAUGCGCAUUGGGAUGGCAUGGGUGCAGAAGCUUGCCAUCCCUGCUGCAGUGGUGACAGAGCUCCCCUGGGUGCUGUUGAAGUAGCCAGGCUAUAGCACAAGCACAGCAUGAGUCAGAUUGCUAUUCUGCUCCAAGCUACUGCUUUAGCUGUGGACAGGACACCUCUUUACCCAACUCCUCUUUGCUUCUCUCUGCAUCAUCCCUUAACCCAGGCUGACAAAAAGCACAGUCCCUGUACUAGCUGUACUGCUCUUACUGGUGGAGGAAGCUGUGGCUCCCUGCUCAGUGUCACAGCUGGUACCACAUAUCUAGCAAAGGAUACUACCUCUUUGAUUGGCCAGUUUAUUUUAAAAACCAAACCAAGCAAACCUCCAUUAACUGGAACAUCUGAAAUAGUAAAUCUUGGCAUGUAUGGUCUUGGUGAGUAAGCAGGGGUUGAUAAAACUCUCCCUCUAACAACUUUUCCACUAGUUCUGGCAGGAAACAAUGACAGAUUGCUCUGGAAUGUAACUUCAUUUGCUAGCACAGUUAGAUCUGGAAAAUGUUAUUUGUUCAUUUAUCUAGGCUUUUGAUGAAUUAUCCUGUACCUUUCA